GCUAGUUUACACCCGGUGCCACGAGUUUUACCAUGCCCUGACGGAAGAUGAUGUUCCAGAUGAAGCAGAGAACAUGAAGCCAAAAGAUUUGACAGUGGAACUUUUCAGAUUGUCUGAUGCCUCGGGAAAUCUGACAUUUAAAGUAGAGAAGAGUGGGUCAGUAUCCACGUCUGAUCUGGACAGCAAGGUGAGUCUAAGUAGAGAAGAGUGGGUCAGUAUCCACGUCUGAUUUGGACAGCAAGGUGAGUCUAUGUAGAGAAGAGUGGGCCAGUAUCCACGUCUGAUUUGGACAGCAAAGUGAGUCUAUGUAGAGAAGAGUGGGUCAGUAUCCA
Long non-coding RNA from Saccostrea cuccullata (small rock oyster), 332 nucleotides. RefSeq lists it as uncharacterized. The record is from RefSeq and is a predicted model, not a curated record. Lineage: Eukaryota; Metazoa; Mollusca; Bivalvia; Ostreida; Ostreidae. The transcript is spliced from 3 exons.